Long non-coding RNA from Grammomys surdaster, 1023 nucleotides. RefSeq lists it as uncharacterized. Lineage: Eukaryota; Metazoa; Chordata; Mammalia; Rodentia; Muridae. The record is from RefSeq and is a predicted model, not a curated record. The transcript has 5 exons.
GUGAGAAGCAGCUGGUCCUUGAGGGAGGGGAGAACCAGCUGGAGGGAUGGAAGAGGAAAGUUAGGACUGAUCUGAAAGAGGUCCUUCUGAGCAGAGAGCAGGAAAAGCUUCCUGCUGAACUGAAUCAUCCAGAAGGAUCUGGAGAAAUCAGGCAAAAGUGCCUUCCUUCUCUACCUGGAUGACUCACAAUAAGAAACGGGAAAUGAAGAGCUGAGGGGAGCCGUAACAAGAAGAGGAGUCACCGGGUCUUGGGAGGGUCAUGUGAGCAAAGCUGCAGUUGGGCAAACCAUGGCAGGCUCCCCAGAGUGAUCCUGCCCCCACCCACUGGAAACCCUCACAAGAUGGCUGGAGCUGCAGUACGUGAAGUUCAGCUCUCCAGAAGAGUGGUCUGAGUGGAAUAGGAUUGGAGUGUUCACAAGAGGCAAAGAGGAUCCUGCUAGGAAUGGAAGGUGUGCUCCAGCUUUGGAACAUUGCGUAUAUGUGAGCAUCACGUACAUACAUACAAAGCUAGGAAGAAGAAUGUGCUACUGUUCAAGACCAGAGGAAGUGAAGAAAGGACAGGGCAACAAGUACAGAAGGUGAGGGCAGGCAAGCCUUGGAAUCAUUCUCAAUUCUCAUCUAGGCUUUCUCAUCUGAUUCUCUCAACAGCAGACAUGGCACCUACUGCUGGUGGACCCAACUGCUGGUCCUGGGUGACUGCUGUGCUGAGCCCAGGGUUGGUCGCUGAUGGUUGCUGGUGAAUGUGUGGCAUCCUUGGCUGAGUGAACCUCACGGCUGACUUUGCAGAGCCUCCAGAACAUUGAGCUGAUUCAAUGAGUACGGCAGAAAGCAAACGGAAUGAGAGAGGAGAGCGCACCAAUGGAUGGGCAUCCCCUCUAGCCACUUGUGAAGGAUAGCACAACUGAUCCUGCACGCUGCAGAGCAGAGAAUGAGAGAUGUUCCCACCUUAACACUGGCGUGGACAUCUUUCCUUACCUUUCCCUAUGCUUAAAGUACAGAAAUAUAAACAGUGAUGUAAACAUG